Long non-coding RNA from Plodia interpunctella (Indianmeal moth), 1581 nucleotides. RefSeq lists it as uncharacterized. The transcript has 3 exons. Lineage: Eukaryota; Metazoa; Arthropoda; Insecta; Lepidoptera; Pyralidae. The record is from RefSeq and is a predicted model, not a curated record.
UGAUUGACAGAAAUUAAUUACAACAUAAAUUCCAGUUCUGGUUAUUUUCAUUCAAAUAAAAAAUAACAAUAUGUAGCUUGGGAGAUACUUUUAGAUUUUGCACUGCAAAAAUAAAUAGGUUCCAGUGACAUAAAAUAUGGUAUUCUGAACAAAAUCAAUUAUGAGGUUGUGAUUUAUAUAAUAUAGCGAGACUUCCAGACUACUGGCAACAUGGUUUCUGGCCACAAUAAUAUAAAGGUGACUUACGACGCAUCAGAAUGGGCGAAAUUUAAAAAUGGACAAGGCAUAUUAUUUAACACCCUACUCACUUUCUUUAUUGUUCUCGCAUUGUACUUGACUACGAGGAACUGGCUUGAAACCGGGCCCGAGGAGGUGGACGUGGGUGCACUGCAUGUGUCACAUAAUCGCUAUCGAAAGAAGCAAUCCCCGACGCGUCGACAUAGUCCCUGCUGCUCCUGUCCCUCCGUGCCUAGACACCGAUGAUCCCAAGCUACUAUUGUCUUCUCUGACCCAAACUACAUCAUUUGUCUUCGCUCAUCUGUCCUUCUAAUUUAUCACUAAACACAAACUGGUGGAUAUUAAAUUACAUUGCAGUCUUAGCGUGUUUCCAUCAGAUAUCCUCUCUGUGACUUCAUUAGAAACCUAAGCUUUGAAAAUGAUAGCGAGAUCACCAGACUAACGACGACAUGUUUGACAAUAUAAAGGUGACUUACGAUGCUAAAGAAUGGGAGAAUUUUAAAAAUAGUCAAGGCAUAUUGUACCAUACUUCAGUCACUUUAGUUAUUGUCAUCGUAUUAUACUUACUUACAUGGCGCUGGCUUGAACCCUCGCCGGAGCACAGUGAUUCGGAAAUCGAACUUUAUACUCAGGAAAGCUUAUUAUCAGAAAAUAAUUAUUAAAAAUAUGGAUCGCAUUUAUUAUAUCUCCAUUUGUUAUACUAUAAUAUAUAAAGAGUUUAGAAAAAAUGAUUUAUUUUUUUAUGUUUGGAAGAAAACACUCAAUUUAAAAAAUCUUUUUUUAAUGAUGUAAUACCUACCUACCUAUAUGUUAGAAUGCUAAACAACCCAUAUUUUUAAUAAUUAUUUUUUAACAUUAACCCCGUUAUUCUUAAACAAGCUAUACUUUUAAGCUGAAGUAUGUUUUGUCACUAACGCACUUUACAGAAUGUGGCUUUGUCAAAUCGAGAUAAAACCUUAUAGUAUGCUUUGUGAAUAACAGGGCAAGUUUCUAUCAGUAUGGAGCUCAAAUUUCGAGCCACUGUACGGAGGCAAGAAGUUACACUACAUAAGUAAGACACAAUCGCUGUCAAAAGCAUACCGCGGCGGCAAGAUUUCGAAAACAGUACCUUAUGAAACUGAUCUUAAUUGUGAACACACAGGCCUCUGGUCAGCGAAGUGAUCUAUAUUGGUACUAGUUAUGCACAGAAAAAAAUUGCAAUAUGGGCAAUACCUAACAACGAAACUAAAACCAAAUAAACACAGUCACAUGACAACAACCCAAAUAGCAAUCAUUAGAGUCAAUCAGUGCGCAGGCACCUAAUUUUCCAUCAAGGGAACAAAAUAAAGUAUUUUAUCAUUUUGA